UACGUAGGUGACAAGCGUUAUUCGGAAUUACUGGGCUUAAAGAGUCCGUAGGCGGCGCGUUAGGUGGGGUGUGAAAUCCCUCGGCCCAACCGAGGAAUUGCGCUCCAAACCGGCGUGCUUGAGGAAGGUAGAGGUGAGCGGAACUGAUGGUGGAGCGGUGAAAUGCGUUGAUAUCAUCAGGAACACCGGAGGCGAAGGCGGCUCACUGGGCCUUUUCUGACGCUGAGGGAGGAAAGCCAGGGUAGCGAACGGG
RNAcentral lists this unclassified non-coding RNA (253 nucleotides) under uncultured Pirellulaceae bacterium. RNAcentral's name for it is "contains 16S-23S intergenic spacer region". It matches the Rfam family "Bacterial small subunit ribosomal RNA", at positions 524 to 776 of the family's 1533-position model. The record is from RNAcentral. Lineage: Bacteria; Pseudomonadati; Planctomycetota; Planctomycetia; Pirellulales; Pirellulaceae.